This 256-nucleotide ribosomal RNA is filed under the name uncultured bacterium. RNAcentral describes it as "partial 16S ribosomal RNA". It matches the Rfam family "Bacterial small subunit ribosomal RNA", at positions 524 to 776 of the family's 1533-position model. The record is from RNAcentral.
UACGUAGGGUGCUAGCGUUGUCCGGAUUUAUUGGGCGUAAAGGGCUCGUAGGCGGCGUGUCGCGUCGGGGAGUGAAAGCCCGCUGCUUAACGGCGGGUUGGCUUCCGGUACGGGCAUCGCUGGAGUGCGGCAGGGGAGACUGGAAUUCCUGGUGUAGCGGUGGAAUGCGCAGAUAUCAGGAGGAACACCGGUGGCGGAAGGCGGGUCUCUGGGCCGUUACUGACGCUGAGGAGCGAAAGCGUGGGGAGCGAACAGG